UGGGGAAUUGUUCGCAAUGGGCGCAAGCCUGACGACGCAACGCCGCGUGGAGGAUGAAGACUUUCGGGUCGUAAACUCCUUUCGACCGAGAUGAAUUCCUGCCGACCUAAUACGUCGGCAGGGUGACAGUAUCGAGGGAAGAAGCCCCGGCUAACUCCGUGCCAGCAGCCGCGGUAAUACGGGGGGGGCAAGCGUUGUUCGGAAUUACUGGGCGUAAAGGGUUCGUAGGUGGCCAACUAAGUCAGACGUGAAAUCCCUCAGCUCAACUGGGGAACUGCGUCUGAGACUGGAUGGCUCGAGUGCAGGAGAGGAACGCGGAAUUCCAGGUGUAGCGGUGAAAUGCGUAGAUAUCUGGAGGAACACCGGUGGCGAAGGCGGCGUUCUGGACUGCAACUGACACUGAGGAACGAAAGCCAGGGGAGCAAACGGG
This 430-nucleotide ribosomal RNA is filed under the name uncultured bacterium. RNAcentral's name for it is "bacterial SSU rRNA". It matches the Rfam family "Bacterial small subunit ribosomal RNA", at positions 355 to 776 of the family's 1533-position model. The record is from RNAcentral.